Molecule: ribosomal RNA, 516 nt
Filed under: uncultured bacterium
Lineage: Bacteria
Description: bacterial SSU rRNA
Rfam family: Bacterial small subunit ribosomal RNA
Source: RNAcentral
UUGGGCGUAAAGCGAGCGCAGGCGGUUAGAUAAGUCUGAAGUUAAAGGCUGUGGCUUAACCAUAGUACGCUUUGGAAACUGUUUAACUUGAGUGCAGAAGGGGAGAGUGGAAUUCCAUGUGUAGCGGUGAAAUGCGUAGAUAUAUGGAGGAACACCGGUGGCGAAAGCGGCUCUCUGGUCUGUAACUGACGCUGAGGCUCGAAAGCGUGGGGAGCGAACAGGAUUAGAUACCCUGGUAGUCCACGCUGUAAACGUUGGGCACUAGGUGUGGGGGCCACCCGUGGUUUCUGCGCCGUAGCUAACGCUUUAAGUGCCCCGCCUGGGGAGUACGGCCGCAAGGCUAAAACUCAAAGGAAUUGACGGGGGCCCGCACAAGCGGCGGAGCAUGCGGAUUAAUUCGAUGCAACGCGAAGAACCUUACCAAGGCUUGACAUGCACGGCGGCACUGCAGAGAUGUGGUGGCAUUUGGUUGGUCGUGUGCAGGUGGUGCAUGGUUGUCGUCAGCUCGUGUCGUGA